This 387-nucleotide ribosomal RNA is filed under the name uncultured eukaryote. Its description in RNAcentral is "SSU rRNA". It matches the Rfam family "Eukaryotic small subunit ribosomal RNA", at positions 592 to 978 of the family's 1831-position model. The record is from RNAcentral.
CAAUAGCGUAUAUUAAAGUUGUUGCGGUUAAAAGCUCGUAGUUGGAUUUCUGUACGAGAGCACCGGUCCGCAUUUUGUGCGUGUAUCUGGUAGAACUUGUGCAGUCCUCUUAUUUUCAAAUCUGCGCUUCAUUGCGUGGUUUUGUAGGAUAAGACUUUUACUUUGAGGAAAUUAGAGUGUUCACGGCAGGCAAGCGCCCUGAAUAUGUUAGCAUGGAAUAAUAAUAUAAGACUUCGGUUUUAUUUUGUUGGUUUCUAAAAGCUGAAGUAAUGGAUUAAUAGGAACAGUUGGGGACACUUGUAUUAACUCGCUAGAGGUGGAAUUCUUGGAUUGAGUUACGACAAACUACUGCGAAAGCAUUUGUCAAAGGAAUGGUUUUCAUUGAUC